Molecule: ribosomal RNA, 497 nt
Filed under: uncultured bacterium
Lineage: Bacteria
Description: partial 16S ribosomal RNA
Rfam family: Bacterial small subunit ribosomal RNA
Source: RNAcentral
GAUGAACGCUGGCGGCGUGCCUAAUACAUGCAAGUCGAGCGAACAGAUGAGGAGCUUGCUCCUCUGACGUUAGCGGCGGACGGGUGAGUAACACGUGGAUAACCUACCUAUAAGACUGGGAUAACUUCGGGAAACCGGAGCUAAUACCGGAUAAUAUAUUGAACCGCUUGGUUCAAUAGUGAAAGACGGUUUUGCUGUCACUUAUAGAUGGAUCCGCGCCGCAUUAGCUAGUUGGUAAGGUAACGGCUUACCAAGGCAACGAUGCGUAGCCGACCUGAGAGGGUGAUCGGCCACACUGGAACUGAGACACGGUCCAGACUCCUACGGGAGGCAGCAGUAGGGAAUCUUCCGCAAUGGGCGAAAGCCUGACGGAGCAACGCCGCGUGAGUGAUGAAGGUCUUCGGAUCGUAAAACUCUGUUAUUAGGGAAGAACAAAUGUGUAAGUAACUAUGCACGUCUUGACGGUACCUAAUCAGAAAGCCACGGCUAACUACGUG